RNAcentral lists this transfer RNA (74 nucleotides) under Phormidium nigroviride PCC 7112. RNAcentral's name for it is "Oscillatoria sp. PCC 7112 tRNA". It matches the Rfam family "tRNA". Rfam says of the family: Transfer RNA (tRNA) molecules are approximately 80 nucleotides in length. Their secondary structure includes four short double-helical elements and three loops (D, anti-codon, and T loops). Lineage: Bacteria; Bacillati; Cyanobacteriota; Cyanophyceae; Oscillatoriales; Oscillatoriaceae. The record is from Rfam by way of RNAcentral.
GCGGGGAUGGAGCAACGGAUAGGCUCGGCAGUCUCAUAAGCUGCAAAUCAGCAAGUUCAAUUCUUGCCCCCGUU